CAGCCGCCGCGGUAAUACCGGCGGCUCGAGUGGUGGCCACUUUUAUUGGGCUUAAAGCGUUCGUAGCUGGGUUGUUAAGUCUCUUGGGAAAUCUGACGGCUUAACCGUCAGGCGUCUAAGAGAUACUGGCAAUCUUGGAACCGGGAGAGGUGAGGGGUACUUCGGGGGUAGGAGUGAAAUCCUGUAAUCCUCGAGGGACCACCUGUGGCGAAGGCGCCUCACCAGAACGGCUUCGACAGUGAGGGACGAAAGCUGGGGGAGCAAACCGGAUUAGAUACCCGGGUAGUCCCAGCCGUAAACGAUGCGCGUUAGGUGUAUCGGUGACCACGAGUCACCGAGGUGCCGAAGGGAAACUGUGAAACGUGCCGCCUGGGAAGUACGGUCGCAAGGCUGAAACUUAAAGGAAUUGGCGGG
This 414-nucleotide ribosomal RNA is filed under the name uncultured microorganism. RNAcentral describes it as "bacterial SSU rRNA". It matches the Rfam family "Archaeal small subunit ribosomal RNA", at positions 459 to 872 of the family's 1478-position model. The record is from RNAcentral.